GCGUGGUUGGUCCAAUGGAAAGACGGCUCCCUGCCACGGAGCAGACUCGGGUUCGAUUCCCGAAUCGCGCA
RNAcentral lists this transfer RNA (71 nucleotides) under Halogranum tailed virus 1. RNAcentral describes it as "Halovirus HGTV-1 tRNA". It matches the Rfam family "tRNA". Rfam says of the family: Transfer RNA (tRNA) molecules are approximately 80 nucleotides in length. Their secondary structure includes four short double-helical elements and three loops (D, anti-codon, and T loops). The record is from Rfam by way of RNAcentral. Lineage: Duplodnaviria; Heunggongvirae; Uroviricota; Caudoviricetes; Thumleimavirales; Halomagnusviridae.